Molecule: ribosomal RNA, 195 nt
Filed under: Planctomycetaceae bacterium
Lineage: Bacteria; Pseudomonadati; Planctomycetota; Planctomycetia; Planctomycetales; Planctomycetaceae
Description: partial 16S ribosomal RNA
Rfam family: Bacterial small subunit ribosomal RNA
Source: RNAcentral
AAUCGCGGAUCAGCUACGCCGGGGUGAAUAUGUUCCUGAGCCUUGUACACACCGCCCGUCAAGCCACGAAAGAGGGGGGCAUCCUAAGUCGCUGAGCUAUCCUUCGGGAAGCAGGCGCCUAAGAUGAACUCCUUGAUUGGGACUAAGUCGUAACAAGGUAGCCGUAGGGGAACCUGCGGCUGGAUCACCUCCUUU